ACGGGGAGCAGCAGGCGCGAAAACUUUACAAUGCGGGCAACCGUGAUAAGGAAACCCCGAGUGCCAGCACAGGCUGGCUGUCCGCCAGUGUAAAAAACUGGUGAAGAAAGGGCCGGGCAAGACCGGUGCCAGCCGCCGCGGUAAUACCGGCGGCUCGAGUGGUGGCCGCUUUUACUGGGCUUAAAGGGUCCGUAGCUGGAUUCACAAGUCCCUUGAGAAAUCUAUCGGCUUAACUGAUAGGCGUUCAGGGGAUACUGUGGUUCUAGGGACCGGGAGAGGUAAGAGGUACUGCCGGGGUAGGAGUGAAAUCCUGUAAUCCCGGUGGGACGACCUGUGGCGAAGGCGUCUCACCAGAACGGACCUGACGGCAAGGGACGUAAGCUAGGGGCACGAACCGGAUUAGAUACCCGGGUAGUCCUAGCCGUAAACGAUACUCGCUAGGUGUCGGCCACGGUGCGACCGUGGUCGGUGCCGUAGGGAAGCCGUGGAGCGAGCCACCUGGGAAGUACGGCCGCAAGGCUGAAACUUAAAGGAAUUGGCGGGGGAGCAC
Molecule: ribosomal RNA, 550 nt
Filed under: uncultured archaeon
Lineage: Archaea
Description: bacterial SSU rRNA
Rfam family: Archaeal small subunit ribosomal RNA
Source: RNAcentral